UACGGAGGGUGCGAGCGUUAAUCGGCAUUACUGGGCGUAAAGCGCGCGUAUGUGGUCGGGUAAGUCGGAUGUGAAAGCCCCGAGCUUAACUUGGGAACGGCAUUCGAUACUGCCUGACUAGAGUAUGGUAGAGGAGAGCGGAAUUCCCGGUGUAGCGGUGAAAUGCGUAGAUAUCGGGAGGAACAUCAGUGGCGAAGGCGGCUCUCUGGAUUAAUACUGACACUGAGGCGCGAAAGCGUGGGUAGCAAACAGG
This 253-nucleotide ribosomal RNA is filed under the name uncultured bacterium. RNAcentral describes it as "partial 16S ribosomal RNA". It matches the Rfam family "Bacterial small subunit ribosomal RNA", at positions 524 to 776 of the family's 1533-position model. The record is from RNAcentral.